GUUAACGUACAUUUCUGGCAAUCAUUACAUUUUACGGCAAAAUCCAUGGGCAAGUGCACAGUCACACUUUUUAAUGUGACUAUCAGCUUAUUCCCAUUUCCUUACAAUCCUUCUAUGGUUCCAGAAAGCCCCAGCAGCAGAAAACCCAACCUUUAAAGUUUCUGUCAUGUGAUUUACAACCCUACAGCCACUGCUGGUUUAAAUUUCACAUCUAUUCUGGAAGUGAAAGUUGAGCUGAUUUUUUUUUUUUUUCCUCUUUUAUGAUAAAAGAGCAGCCACUGAAUUAAUAACAGGUCAGUACGAGAUAUAUUAGAGUGUGGUUUGGCAUUUCUGCUGAGAAUCUCCUGUCAUCUCCACCACCACCCACAGAUGCCAUAGCAACCACGCUGCGGAGGGGCUCGAGCGCACACACUCGAACGUGCCGCUACAUGAAUGCGCUUCUUGUUUUGCCAUUGUGAUGCUGAAUUCAUUUCAGCUGCAGUUGCUCCUCCCUGGAAAGCUUCGUUUUUCCCACUGAAGACAAAAUAAACAAACAGCUCCAAUUUUGCCCUUUUGGAAUGCAGCAGUUGUGUAGGAUUCAGCUGAGCGGGCAAUUAAGGAAAAAGUCCUCAAAUUAUAUCUUGCACUUGCACAGAAGUUUUUAGCAGUGCCAUAAGAAAGUUGUCUUUACAGUCAGCACAAGGUUCAACUAGAAGAAGCAGCAAUUUCUUGAGAAGUUACCACAGAACAAUACUUGUUUAUUCACCAGUGUUUGAAUAUUUAAGUAGUUCAUGCGAUUAUUCUUAAGUAUAACAGCCUGAGUUUCAGCAGAGCUGCUAAAGCUUGUGCAAGUCAGUCAUUUGCUGCAAUUAAAAAUAUGCAGCUUGCAAAAUACAGGAACACUGUUUUUAGCACAUUCUUAUAAUGUGUUAAAGACACUUUUAAAGUGUGCUAAAGCAUCCAGCUUGUUCUUCAGCACGUACUUUCUUCACAGUUUGUUCUCCUAUGAAAAGCUACCUCCAACGGUGUGGGCUUUUCUCAGCUACUGUUGUAAUCCCACUCUGUUACACCCACUUCCAACUUCUCCAUAACCCUGUAUAUCACUUCGAGGCAUUAAUUAAUUAUGCCAAUCCUUGUAGGGUUCAUUAGUCAAAUAUUUCACUUAAACACUGCCUUACAUAUUGUCUGAGGACAGCCCUAAAUCCAAGAACAAAUUGUUCCUGUUACGUAUUCACCGUUUUUGUUAUUUUCCCCUCAUUGUGCUUCCAGCCAUCUCCCAGUAGAGUUGAGAAGAAAACCCCCACACAAAGGGAGGGACUGCAGUGCAGUGCAGGCAGGAUCUGCAGCCAGAUGGAGUCAUCCUGAUGUGAACCACCCGUCUGACCUUUGUGUAACUGUCGUGUUUGGCUACUGGCCUUUGAAGUGAUGGGAUAAGAGGUCUCCAAAAGGGGCAGUGUUCUGAAGUGUUGCUGCUCUCCAGCCUUUUCCCUUUUCUCGUGCUCAAGAUGCUUCUCGCUUGAGAGAUCAGAUGAGAGCUUUGGGAGUGCUUGUCCUGAGACCAGCCUGUGCCACCAGAUUCACAUCUCUCAAGCAAUGCAACAGUUCUUUGGCCCCAGGAUCAGAACAGAGACAAAAACCA
This is a long non-coding RNA of Passer domesticus (house sparrow), 1618 nucleotides long. RefSeq lists it as uncharacterized. Lineage: Eukaryota; Metazoa; Chordata; Aves; Passeriformes; Passeridae. The transcript is spliced from 3 exons. The record is from RefSeq and is a predicted model, not a curated record.